GAGAGCUCUAGCUAAUAAUUAUCCUGUACUUAGUUGACUCUGUACAUAGUAUGUUAGGGAGUUACAACUGUUUCAGACCUGGACAAUAAGCAUUAGGUUGAAAUUAUUUCACCAUGUCAAUUGUGGUACAUGGGCCCCCUCUUGUAUUUACCCAAGGCAGAAAAAGAUCAGUGAUCAGAAUCCCUAGAGGUCAGAGCAGUGACAGACCAGCAAAGACAGCGGAGAUCCAACAGUUUUUUCAUAUAGUGUCCAUUCUACUUACUUAUGAAGCCAGCACGUAUCUAAGUAACCCACCCAGCAUCCCCACCCCAUCCCCAGUUCUGGGAAAGGAUUACAAUUAUAGGUACAGACGAAAAGGAAAUGCAAAGUUAAUUAUGGGUUAUGUAUUUAAGCAGAGGCUCUGUCACUGCAAGAUCCAAUCACUGCCCAGGGGCCCAAAAGCCAGCAACACAGGUUAUAUUCACAUAGCUCCCCAAAGACUUUCAAAGGGAGCUGCGGAAGGUGCUAGAAAUAUCCAGGGGUCCACAAUUGCUUACCUGUAGCUCACCCUCUGGAGAAGGGGAAAAGAAAAAGCCAUUCUAGCUGCCACAUUUUCUGCUCCUGUUCCCCCACCCCAUCACAUCCUUCUCUCUAUCCCUCUUUCUCCAAAAUGGCUUCAACAUGACCCCCAACCCAAAACUACCCUCAGGCUGAGCAUUAGCUACGCACAAAGCUCCCCCUUUCCCAAGUCUUCAACUUGGGAAAGUUCAUGAGUUGGCUAACUGUUUGUUGGAAUAUGAAGGAUAAAGAUGAGGUCAGAGGUGGCCUGCAGAACCAGUUCAAAUUGGCAGGGUCUUUCUUUAUUCUUCCUGCAUCUGAAAGGACUCUGAGUAACUAUUUCCAACGUGGAGGUAGGAGAGAAGUCUUGCUUAAAUGUGUGCAUUGGGACAGGACUGGACAGAUAGGGACAAGACGGUUACCAUCCCAAAGAGAACACUUAGAAACCAGAACUAGGUGAGGACGACCUCUCAGAAGCUCACACAAGUGUAUAAGCCAUUGGCAUGUCUGUUGACUUAGAUUACAUAUGCUUAGUGGAACUCCAUUCACUGUGACCCGAACUUGAAAAAUCCUCCACCCCCCGAAAAAAGCUGCCUGGGUGAUUGGUUGAUGUUUAGGGUGGUAGGACUGAAUUUUCAAUGCAUUUGUCCAACAGAGAGCUGUUAAUCAAAAUCAGGUUCAUUUAACCUUAUUAACUCUUCAGCUUUCUUCUCUCCACCCCACUUAAAAACAGGGACUGUGGUUUAAUUAUACACUUUUCGGAUGUCACUGUUGAACUCUAUAGACAGAGCACUAAUCAUGGGUCUGACCUGCAUCAUCAUCUUCUGCCUGGACUUUUGUGAUAGACUUUUUGAGGAAAAAAAAAUCAUACUUUUUGUUUAAUUAUGAAAGUCUCACACAGGUAUUGUAGAAAAUUUAGGGGGAAAAAGAAAAAGA
Molecule: long non-coding RNA, 1473 nt
Filed under: Marmota monax (woodchuck)
Lineage: Eukaryota; Metazoa; Chordata; Mammalia; Rodentia; Sciuridae
Source: RNAcentral